CGGAGGAUCCAAGCGUUAUCCGGAAUCAUUGGGUUUAAAGGGUCCGUAGGCGGUUUUGUAAGUCAGUGGUGAAAGCCCAUCGCUCAACGGUGGAACGGCCAUUGAUACUGCAAGACUUGAAUUACUAGGAAGUAACUAGAAUAUGUAGUGUAGCGGUGAAAUGCUUAGAUAUUACACGGAAUACCAAUUGCGAAGGCAGGUUACUACUAGUGGAUUGACGCUGAUGGACGAAAGCGUGGGGAGCGAACAGGAUUAGAUACCCUGGUAGUCCACGCCGUAAACGAUGGAUACUAGCUGUUCGGAGCAAUCUGAGUGGCUAAGCGAAAGUGAUAAGUAUCCCACCUGGGGAGUACGUUCGCAAGAAUG
This 366-nucleotide ribosomal RNA is filed under the name uncultured organism. RNAcentral's name for it is "bacterial SSU rRNA". It matches the Rfam family "Bacterial small subunit ribosomal RNA", at positions 526 to 896 of the family's 1533-position model. The record is from RNAcentral.